UAUGUGUGUGUGUGUGUGUGUGUGUGUGUGUGUAGACAUAUAUAUAUACCCUCUUCUUGAACUAAUUAAUAAUUGCUAAAAUAAUAUUUCAAAAACUCAAUCCAGGAUUUACCCUCUGGCCAAAAGGAGGCUGUAAUUACAGUGGAGCCUUCUAAGAAUUACUCAGAGUCCCUUAUUCCCUAAGGAAGUACAUUUUUUUGGCCAAGGAUUUGUAUUUUGUCAAAUUAAGAUGAACAACAACAUCUUAGUAGCAGGUAAUGUUUCUUCAAUGGAACAUUGCGCCAUUCCAUCAGGACAGCGGCUCCUGGAUGGUGUGGGACAUGGUAAACCCGACAGAUGCAGAAAAAGAUCCAGGUGCCCUAGACCGAGGGAUCCAGUCUUCUAACCCACCCCACUGUGUGCGCAGGUGUCACCCAACCCUCUUUACAUUGUUCUGUGGGAUCUGGAUCCUGCAGAAUGAAUGCAAAUACUGAUUCUGUCUUCUACUGUUGCCCUGAAUAAAGUUCUUUAGACCUGACUGAGGAAUUUCACUCUUCUAACAGCUUCCAUAAAACAGUGACAGACUAAUUUGUUAACUUGCUAGUAAGGUAAAAUUUCAGAUCCUUUCAGUUCUUGAUGCUAAAUUUCAUAUCUCUUAGGAUGA
Long non-coding RNA from Molossus molossus (Pallas's mastiff bat), 643 nucleotides. RefSeq lists it as uncharacterized. The record is from RefSeq and is a predicted model, not a curated record. The transcript has 3 exons. Lineage: Eukaryota; Metazoa; Chordata; Mammalia; Chiroptera; Molossidae.